RNAcentral lists this small RNA (63 nucleotides) under Paenibacillus sp. P22. Its description in RNAcentral is "Termite-leu RNA". Lineage: Bacteria; Bacillati; Bacillota; Bacilli; Caryophanales; Paenibacillaceae. The record is from RNAcentral.
AAAAACGGGAUGAAGCCGAAUUCUCGGCUUCAUCCCGUUUUGGUUCCAAAAUCUAGAAGGAAU